AGGUGAUGUAUCAAGCACUGAUCUCGUCACUUGCUUCAGCAAAUAUUUAAACCAUUUGCAACAAGCAAGGUGCCGUGCAAGGCUCUAGAGAUGGAGAGAAGAGUAAAGCAGAGAUCGUCUUCAGCAGAGCCAUGGCCAGGCCGACAUCAAUGCAGAUCAAUGGCAGCACAAUGAGCAAUGACUGUAGUGUGGACGGAGCUGGAGAGAAUGUGAGAGAAGAAAGUGACAUGACCUGCCCCCAGAACUGCCAUUCAUUUUACUUGUCCAUUAUCACCAUCUGUCAUCCUCACCUGAAACUAGUAUCAACGCAGGUGCAUUCAAAUGCAAAUAACAGAAAAGACUUACACCAUCACGACAUUUAUUGUCUUUUUAAAAAGAAGUAUGGAAUCAGAUGCUCGCAGUUUAGAUCAGCAAUUUCACAAGGUUAGGGCUCUGGACUCUCAUCUCUAUCACUCUGCCCAAGUUCACAUCUCUACUGCUACAGUUCCAAGCCUCACAUUCUAAUAAGAUUUUUCUUCAAAACCAAGAAGACACCUUGCCACGGUCAUGAAUGAGCACUCCUAAUAUGUUUCUUUUGUUUUAUUGGAAAGUCCAUUCUUUGGAAAUGGAAAUAUUUAUAAGGAAACUCCACAGCACAUGUCCCUUACAUGUUAUUGACUAGAAAUGGAUAUAUAUUGUAUUAGGAUGGGCCAGGCUAGGCUUUGGUAAGAAGUAAGCCCUGAAAUCUCAGUGGCUGAACACAAUGGAGGUUUAUUUCUUGCUCGCCUGACAAUCUUUGUGUGCUGGUGGCCCCCUUUCAUCUUGUAGCCUCCACCAUCACUGCAGCAGGGGAAGAGAGAGAUGGAAAUGGUGCACCGGUUUUUGGGUUUUAGUUUUUUUUUUUUUUUUUUUUAACACGGAGUUUCACUCUUACUGCCUAGGCUGGAGUGCAAUGGCGCAAUAUUGG
Molecule: long non-coding RNA, 946 nt
Filed under: Homo sapiens (human)
Lineage: Eukaryota; Metazoa; Chordata; Mammalia; Primates; Hominidae
Description: HSALNT0166462
Source: RNAcentral